Molecule: long non-coding RNA, 1100 nt
Organism: Triticum aestivum (bread wheat)
Lineage: Eukaryota; Viridiplantae; Streptophyta; Magnoliopsida; Poales; Poaceae
Exons: 2
Source: RefSeq, a predicted model, not a curated record
UUGAUUGUCAGCUGACGAGGAUGUCACAUGUUCGAAUUCCCUGCACGCUCGCUUCCUGGUAUUUUUUGCGAGCAUUACCUAAAAUCAAGGGGGAGCAAGAAUUGAUUAAAAUUCAGGGGCAUUCCUGUAAAAAACACGUGUAGCUCACAGCGCGCGUCCAACGCCUGCAACCACUGACAUGUGGCCCAACGACAUCAACGCGGGCACUCGAUACGGCGGCAUGCGUUCAGAGGUAUCGUAUUUGAACGGCCAGACAAGUUAUGACACCAUUUUUGGGUAUUUUUCAAAUUUAGGCAUGAAACUGACCGCACCGGACAAGUUAAGCACGUGUGUGUGCUGUAUUUAACUCUUUUGAAUUUCUAUUCAGUCGGUGGGGCGGCGGCCUUUGUCUUAGCUGGGGAAGGGAUUGAAAGGGGUUGGCCGAGGCGGCGGAGGGAACGGGGAGCUUCUCGCCGCUCGCCGGUGAUUAGCGGCAGGUCGGCCAAGCGAAGACGGCGCCCGGCGAGUCACCCCACAAGCGGGGUUUGUUCGCGGGAGGCGUGCUUCACAGGGAGGGCCUCAGGCAAGAGAGGUGUUAGUCUGGAGAGGAGCUCGGCCGUAGCUACCCCUUCGUGCUCGCCACCAGCAAGCGCCGUCGAUGGGUGAUGUAGUAUUCGCCGGAGCCGGUGGGCCGCAAGAGAUGAUUGUGGAUAUUUCCCAACGAAGAUAAUGGAGAUAUGGGAACCAGCCUUGGAUCCGCGGAAGCAUUUCUCACAAGAUGAUAUCCAGAAUAUAAGGAUUCAAUAUAUGAAUCAACUAUUCUUUUGGAAGAAAAACACCGCAGACAAGAGGCUGGUCACUGAUUUCAACCUACAGGUUUUUCUUCCUUAUUUUUUAUUCAUUUUCACUUAUAUUUUUUAUUUUAUUUUUUUAAGUUGUUUUGCCAUUUUUCAUUAUUUUUGUGAUUUUAACUGUUGUCUUACUUUCUCUAUGUGAUUCUCCUUUCUUUUCUUUUCUACGGGAUGAUUUCGUUAACAAUCCUGCAUGAUAGCUUUGGUUUCUCUCUGUAUUUUGGGCCUGUUGGACGUAUAUCAAUUAAAGAGAGCUCGCCUACUUUUUUC